GGUUAAGCGACUAAGCGUACACGGUGGAUGCCUUGGCAGUCAGAGGCGAUGAAGGACGUGCUAAUCUGCGAUAAGCGUCGGUAAGGUGAUAUGAACCGUUAUAACCGGCGAUUUCCGAAUGGGGAAACCCAGUGUGUUUCGACACACUAUCAUUAACUGAAUCCAUAGGUUAAUGAGGCGAACCGGGGGAACUGAAACAUCUAAGUACCCCGAGGAAAAGAAAUCAACCGAGAUUCCCCCAGUAGCGGCGAGCGAACGGGGAGCAGCCCAGAGCCUGAAUCAGUGUGUGUGUUAGUGGAAACGUCUGGAAAGGCGCGCGAUACAGGGUGACAGCCCCGUACACAAAAAUGCACAUGCUGUGAGCUCGAUGAGUAGGGCGGGACACGUGGUAUCCUGUCUGAAUAUGGGGGGACCAUCCUCCAAGGCUAAAUACUCCUGACUGACCGAUAGUGAACCAGUACCGUGAGGGAAAGGCGAAAAGAACCCCGGCGAGGGGAGUGAAAAAGAACCUGAAACCGUGUACGUACAAGCAGUGGGAGCACGCUUAGGCGUGUGACUGCGUACCUUUUGUAUAAUGGGUCAGCGACUUAUAUUCUGUAGCAAGGUUAACCGAAUAGGGGAGCCGAAGGGAAACCGAGUCUUAACUGGGCGUUAAGUUGCAGGGUAUAGACCCGAAACCCGGUGAUCUAGCCAUGGGCAGGUUGAAGGUUGGGUAACACUAACUGGAGGACCGAACCGACUAAUGUUGAAAAAUUAGCGGAUGACUUGUGGCUGGGGGUGAAAGGCCAAUCAAACCGGGAGAUAGCUGGUUCUCCCCGAAAGCUAUUUAGGUAGCGCCUCGUGAAUUCAUCUCCGGGGGUAGAGCACUGUUUCGGCAAGGGGGUCAUCCCGACUUACCAACCCGAUGCAAACUGCGAAUACCGGAGAAUGUUAUCACGGGAGACACACGGCGGGUGCUAACGUCCGUCGUGAAGAGGGAAACAACCCAGACCGCCAGCUAAGGUCCCAAAGUCAUGGUUAAGUGGGAAACGAUGUGGGAAGGCCCAGACAGCCAGGAUGUUGGCUUAGAAGCAGCCAUCAUUUAAAGAAAGCGUAAUAGCUCACUGGUCGAGUCGGCCUGCGCGGAAGAUGUAACGGGGCUAAACCAUGCACCGAAGCUGCGGCAGCGACGCUUAUGCGUUGUUGGGUAGGGGAGCGUUCUGUAAGCCUGCGAAGGUGUACUGUGAGGUAUGCUGGAGGUAUCAGAAGUGCGAAUGCUGACAUAAGUAACGAUAAAGCGGGUGAAAAGCCCGCUCGCCGGAAGACCAAGGGUUCCUGUCCAACGUUAAUCGGGGCAGGGUGAGUCGACCCCUAAGGCGAGGCCGAAAGGCGUAGUCGAUGGGAAACAGGUUAAUAUUCCUGUACUUGGUGUUACUGCGAAGGGGGGACGGAGAAGGCUAUGUUGGCCGGGCGACGGUUGUCCCGGUUUAAGCGUGUAGGCUGGUUUUCCAGGCAAAUCCGGAAAAUCAAGGCUGAGGCGUGAUGACGAGGCACUACGGUGCUGAAGCAACAAAUGCCCUGCUUCCAGGAAAAGCCUCUAAGCAUCAGGUAACAUCAAAUCGUACCCCAAACCGACACAGGUGGUCAGGUAGAGAAUACCAAGGCGCUUGAGAGAACUCGGGUGAAGGAACUAGGCAAAAUGGUGCCGUAACUUCGGGAGAAGGCACGC
RNAcentral lists this ribosomal RNA (1708 nucleotides) under Escherichia coli. RNAcentral's name for it is "partial 23S ribosomal RNA". It matches the Rfam family "Bacterial large subunit ribosomal RNA", at positions 1 to 1751 of the family's 2925-position model. The record is from RNAcentral. Lineage: Bacteria; Pseudomonadati; Pseudomonadota; Gammaproteobacteria; Enterobacterales; Enterobacteriaceae.